AUUUCAAAAUAAUCACUCCUUGGGGUUCUUCUAGCUAAAAGCUAUAGAUAUUUUUUAAUGAAUUGAUUUAAAUCAAAUUAGUCCUUAAAGUGUCCUUGUGGAGCCUGACAGAGGAAUGAGAGGCAUCAAGAGUUGUAUUGUAUUGCCUGCCAACCCUAGACCCCUUUUCUUUGAGAAACGAGACAGCAAUUCUAGGUCUUAGUGCAUAAGGCCAGUCUUUGUGCUUUGAGGUGCUUUUUUUUUUUUUUUUUUCUCUCUGAGACGGAGUCUUGCUCUAUUGCACCACUGGACUCCAGCCUGGGCGACAGAGUGAGAAUCUGUCUCAAAUAAAUAAAUAAAAUUAAAUUAUAACAGGCAAACCGUCACUGGCCAGGGAACUCCUACGUGGAAUAAACAAAGCUGAUGUGUAAAGAAUUCUGAGGUGUGCUUCACAGGUCACCACACACAGCUAGCCUUCUGUUGGGGUCUGGCCCAGCCCUGUGCUUGGGUAAGGACAGAAGGCUCUGGGUGACGCUCCGUGAAGGAGAACCCAGUUGCUGGGCAUUGUCUCUUGUGCGGUGAUGCUGAUGCCUAUCCUUUGGU
Molecule: small RNA, 582 nt
Filed under: Pan troglodytes (chimpanzee)
Lineage: Eukaryota; Metazoa; Chordata; Mammalia; Primates; Hominidae
Description: sense intronic
Source: RNAcentral